GACGAACGCUGGCGGCGUGCCUAAUACAUGCAAGUAGAACGCUGAAGGAGGAGCUUGCUUCUCUGGAUGAGUUGCGAACGGGUGAGUAACGCGUAGGUAACCUGCCUGGUAGCGGGGGAUAACUAUUGGAAACGAUAGCUAAUACCGCAUAAGAGUAGAUGUUGCAUGACAUUUGCUUAAAAGGUGCAAUUGCAUCACUACCAGAUGGACCUGCGUUGUAUUAGCUAGUUGGUGAGGUAACGGCUCACCAAGGCGACGAUACAUAGCCGACCUGAGAGGGUGAUCGGCCACACUGGGACUGAGACACGGCCCAGACUCCUACGGGAGGCAGCAGUAGGGAAUCUUCGGCAAUGGACGGAAGUCUGACCGAGCAACGCCGCGUGAGUGAAGAAGGUUUUCGGAUCGUAAAGCUCUGUUGUAAGAGAAGAACGAGUGUGAGAGUGGAAAGUUC
Molecule: ribosomal RNA, 451 nt
Filed under: Streptococcus mitis
Lineage: Bacteria; Bacillati; Bacillota; Bacilli; Lactobacillales; Streptococcaceae
Description: bacterial SSU rRNA
Rfam family: Bacterial small subunit ribosomal RNA
Source: RNAcentral